UAGCCAUAAUGUGGACACAAAUUCGUGAGAUCCUUGAACCUUUCUUAGCAUUUAAAGAAAGUUUCUUCCUUUUUUUGGGCAAAAUUCAUGAUUGUGUAUUUGUUUUA
Small nucleolar RNA from Magnolia sinica, 107 nucleotides. The record is from RefSeq and is a predicted model, not a curated record. NCBI's taxonomy places the organism in Eukaryota, Viridiplantae, Streptophyta, Magnoliopsida, Magnoliales, Magnoliaceae.